This is a long non-coding RNA of Clupea harengus (Atlantic herring), 1220 nucleotides long. NCBI's taxonomy places the organism in Eukaryota, Metazoa, Chordata, Actinopteri, Clupeiformes, Clupeidae. The record is from Ensembl.
CCGAACCCUCUCGCAUCCAGUGCACCACAGAGCGUACAUACACCUGUAUUUUUAUUCUUGCCACCUUUCCUAACGUCUAUUGUCAUACCACUGCUAUGACUAUAUUUGUCAUGCUUCAAUAUCCCAGGCAGAGUGUAUAUCUAAAGAGAAGCUUCGCUGCUAGGGAUUACGGCAGUGAAAGAGAUGAUGCCGCGUUUGAUAACAUUGCUCAUUGGGGUGAAAGUAGAGACGGCGUAAGGAUGGAGAUAAAGCGCGGUGCGUAAAAAUGAUGCUCGCUUUUUUCCCCUUUUCGCAUCUAGAUGGUUUUCCGUGACCGAUACACGCGUUAUGUAAUGCGUUAACCAUCGAGCGCCACUGGAAAAGAGGGCGAAUGGGCUCGUCUUCUUCACCUUUAGCGUGUGCGUGUCUGCUGCUUGGUGUGGUGACACCACCCCCCAGGUCCUGUGUGGCGUGUGGGUAGCAGAGUGAGGGCACCGCCCCGCCCGGCAUGGGCAGUGCUGGCAGCGGGGUAGCCAAUCACCAGUCAACAUUCGCUAUGCGCAGCGUGGGCACUCGCACCACCACCAUCACCGCCACCGCCGGUGCCCCCAACACUCAGGGCAGCGGCCUGUCACGCGGCCCAUCCCUGCCCCCCGGCACCUCCACUCGCCGUCGCCUCGAUGACCGUAGCUACAGCGCCGAGCGACCCCCCCACCCGGCCAACGCCUUGGGCCCUCCCAAGACUGGGGGCCCGCCGGGCGACGAGCGCAGUUACGGCAACGCAGAGAGCUCGUAUUACGGAGGGGGCACGGAAAAACCGCCACCACAGCCAGAUGGCGCAGAGCGCUUGGCCACACACACCAAUGCCAACCGGCACCUGACCAACGGGGAGCGGAUGGUGGCCAACACCGCCUUCCUGAACGGGUUGGUGCGGCGUGACGGACACCAUGACCGCGGGCGGACGUCAGAGGCCAUGUCUGGGCCGGGCUCGAUGGGGGUGGACAUCUGUGGUAACAGCGUGGCCCUCAAUAAUGACAAGAACAGCAGCCUUCAGAUGACAACACACUUCAAGGACAACCCCAACGCCAAGCUGGACAACCACAAAAACCCCCCAAACAUCCUGCCUGUCUCUGGGAAACUGGAGCAGAAUGAUGGCCUGGUCCGUCCUUCAGCUUUCAAACCGGUAGUGCCCAAGAGUUUUCACUCAAUGCAGAACCUGGUGUCCCCCGCCCAAAAGGGAC